Molecule: ribosomal RNA, 377 nt
Filed under: uncultured bacterium
Lineage: Bacteria
Description: bacterial SSU rRNA
Rfam family: Bacterial small subunit ribosomal RNA
Source: RNAcentral
UAAUACGGGGGGUGCGAGCGUUGUCCGGAAUCACUGGGCGUAAAGGGCGCGUAGGUGGUCUGAUAAGGGUGUGGUGAAAGCCCGGGGCUCAACCCCGGGUCGGCCGUGCCGACUGUUAGACUAGAGUACUGUAGGGGCAGGCGGAAUUCCGGGUGUAGCGGUGGAAUGCGUAGAGAUCCGGAGGAAGACCGGUGGCGAAGGCGGCCUGCUGGGCAGUUACUGACACUGAGGCGCGACAGCGUGGGGAGCAAACAGGAUUAGAUACCCUGGUAGUCCACGCCGUAAACGAUGGGUACUAGGUGCCUGGGGGAGCGACCCCUUGGGUGCCGGCGCUAACGCAGGAAGUACCCCGCCUGGGGAGUACGGCCGCAAGGCUG